AACGAACGCUGGCGGCAUGCCUAACACAUGCAAGUCGAACGAGACCUUCGGGUCUAGUGGCGCACGGGUGCGUAACGCGUGGGAACCUGCCCUUAGGUUCGGAAUAACUCCCCGACAGGGGUGCUAAUACCGGAUAAUGUCUUCGGACCAAAGAUUUAUCGCCUUUGGUUGGGCCCGCGUUGGAUUAGCUAGUUGGUAGGGUAAAAGCCUACCAAGGCGACGAUCCAUAGCUGGUCUGAGAGGAUGCUCAGCCACACUGGGACUGAGACACGGCCCAGACUCCUACGGGAGGCAGCAGUGGGGAAUAUUGGACAAUGGGCGAAAGCCUGAUCGAGCAAUGCCGCGUGAGUGAUGAAGGCCUUAGGGUUGUAAAGCUCUUUUACCCGGGAUGAUAAUGACAGUACCGGGAGAAUAAGCUCCGGCUAACUCCGUG
RNAcentral lists this ribosomal RNA (433 nucleotides) under uncultured bacterium. RNAcentral's name for it is "partial 16S ribosomal RNA". It matches the Rfam family "Bacterial small subunit ribosomal RNA", at positions 29 to 507 of the family's 1533-position model. The record is from RNAcentral.